GAAGGUUCUGUCCUGAGCGUGAAGCUGCCUCUAGGUGUUGUUUCUGCAGUUACCUUGUGCCGUUGAUGAUUCUUCUUCUCCUCCUGUGGGGGAUUCAGAGGGAGAGGACACAGCCUGA
Molecule: small nucleolar RNA, 118 nt
Organism: Panthera leo (lion)
Lineage: Eukaryota; Metazoa; Chordata; Mammalia; Carnivora; Felidae
Gene: U3
Rfam family: Small nucleolar RNA U3
About the family: Small nucleolar RNAs (snoRNAs) are involved in the processing and modification of rRNA in the nucleolus. There are two main classes of snoRNAs: the box C/D class, and the box H/ACA class.
Source: Ensembl